GUUCCUGUGGCCUAGUGGUUAGAGCGUCAGCCUCGGAUGCGGGAGGUCGUGGGUUCGAUCCCUGGUAGAGUCA
Potamilus streckersoni is the source of this 73-nucleotide non-coding RNA. The record is from the annotation of a GenBank genome assembly. Lineage: Eukaryota; Metazoa; Mollusca; Bivalvia; Unionida; Unionidae.